This 575-nucleotide ribosomal RNA is filed under the name uncultured fungus. Its description in RNAcentral is "SSU rRNA". It matches the Rfam family "Eukaryotic small subunit ribosomal RNA", at positions 248 to 826 of the family's 1831-position model. Lineage: Eukaryota; Fungi. The record is from RNAcentral.
GUGUCAUAAUACUUACGAAUCGCAUGGCCUUGUGCCGGCGAUGGUUCAUUCAAAUUUCUGGCCCUAUCAACUUUCGAUUGGUUAGGUCUUAGGCUAACAUGGUUUCAACGGGUAACGGGGAAUUAGGGUUCUAUUCCGGAGAGUGAGCCUGAGAAACGGCUAACACAUCCAAGGAAGGCAGCAGGCGCGCAAAUUACCCAAUCCCGACACGGGGAGGUAGUGACAAUAAAUACUGAUCCAGGGCUCUUUUGGGUCUUGGAAUUGGAAUGAGUACAAUUUAAAUCCCUUAACGAGGAACCAAUUGGAGGGCAAGUCUGGUGCCAGCAGCCGCGGUAAUUCCAGCUCCAAUAGCGUAUAUUAAAGUUGUUGCAGUUAAAAAGCUCGUAGUUGAACCUUGGGGCCUGGCUGGCCGGUCCGCCCUCACCGCGUGUACUGGUCCGGCCGGGCCUUUCCUUCUGGGGAAUCGCAUGCCCUUCACUGGGUGUGUCGAGGAUCCAGGACUUUUACUUUGAAAAAAUUAGAGUGUUCAAAGCAGGCCUAUGCUCGAAUACAUUAGCAUGGAAUAAUAGAAUAGG